Non-coding RNA from Strongylocentrotus purpuratus (purple sea urchin), 115 nucleotides. The record is from Rfam. Lineage: Eukaryota; Metazoa; Echinodermata; Echinoidea; Camarodonta; Strongylocentrotidae.
AUGCAGAUAUGGUGACAUCGUGCCGCAGUCCAUCAUAGGUAAAAUUGUAGGUGGAGUUUGCGCACUGUCCGGGGUUCUUGUAAUAGCGUUGCCAGUUCCUGUUAUCGUCUCCAAU